UGGGGAAUAUUGGACAAUGGGCGCAAGCCUGAUCCAGCCAUGCCGCGUGAGUGAUGAAGGCCCUAGGGUUGUAAAGCUCUUUCGCCAGGGACGAUAAUGACGGUACCUGGAUAAGAAGCCCCGGCUAACUUCGUGCCAGCAGCCGCGGUAAUACGAAGGGGGCUAGCGUUGUUCGGAAUCACUGGGCGUAAAGCGCACGUAGGCGGAUCUUUAAGUCAGGGGUGAAAUCCCGAGGUUCAACCUCGGAACUGCCUUUGAUACUGGAGGUCUCGAGUCCGGGAGAGGUGAGUGGAACUGCGAGUGUAGCGGUGAAAUGCGCAGAUAUCAGGAAGAACACCCGUGGCGAAGGCGGAUCCCUGGGACGGUACUGACGCUGAGACGCGAAAGCGUGGGGAGCAAACAGGAUUAGAUACCCUGGUAGUCCACGCCGUAAACGAUGGGCACUAGGUGUGGGAGGUGUCGACUCCUCCCGUGCCGCAGCUAACGCAUUAAGUGCCCCGCCUGGGGAGUACGGUCGCAAGACUA
This 525-nucleotide ribosomal RNA is filed under the name uncultured bacterium. RNAcentral's name for it is "bacterial SSU rRNA". It matches the Rfam family "Bacterial small subunit ribosomal RNA", at positions 355 to 896 of the family's 1533-position model. The record is from RNAcentral.